RNAcentral lists this long non-coding RNA (6829 nucleotides) under Sus scrofa (pig). RNAcentral's name for it is "lncRNA (ENSSSCG00040000994.1)". The record is from RNAcentral. Lineage: Eukaryota; Metazoa; Chordata; Mammalia; Artiodactyla; Suidae.
UUGGUGUUUUGUGAGUUAUAUAUGUGUGUCUUUUGCCAUUAAACAGUCAUUUGGCUGCAGAGAAAAGGGUUUUGGGGUUAUGAUUUCUUCUAAGCUGUUUUUAAAUAAAAGUGGAAAACUCCAAAGAAUUAUGGUUCACAUAUAGCCCAUUAUAAACCUUUGGUCAUUUAACAGUUUAAUAUUUUUAUAUAGUCGGUUGUCCGUAAAUUAUUAAGAUUCAGGUGAAAUAAAUGAAAACACCACUUCCAUACAUUUAGUUACACCACCUCUACUUGGACACAUUAAAAAAAAAGCCAUCUUCCCAAUAGUCCUCCAUUUAUGACUUAUAAGUAUUUUAAUUUGUUUUAAAAGUAAAUUCUAAGUUUUGUUCUAUUAGACUGUAAUGUCUUAAAACAUUUGGAAACAUCAGUAUUAUUCACUCAGGCCUGGCAAAAGACCCAAGUUGAAAGUAAUGAUAAUUUCUGUCACCAUUAAAACAUAUGAUAAUUUGGGGAGAAAGGUAGAUAAAAAUUUGUCUCUAUCCGUUGAAUAACUUUUUAAACCAUGGAUUUUAUGAGUAUUAGAAACACAGACAAACUAUAUUUCUGAUAUUUUCCUUAUGAAGUCCCCUUUAGCAGUCCUCUAACAACUGCCUACAUAAACAUACACACUUAUCUACACUGCUUUCAAAAUGAAUGCCCUAAAGAGAAAUGAAAGCAGAAAUAUAUUAAUCUGAUUUGUUUGAAGAGGCUUCGGAUGAUAAAGCAUUUCACAGGUGUUUCUAAUCAAAAUAUUUCUAUUUUAAAAAGUUAGGGUUUCUUUGAACAUAGGCAAGAUUGGGGUUUUGACCUUUAGGAGAGAGCCAAUUCUGGAGAACAACCUAACUUCUUUGAUUGAACAUUCACAUAAUGCAAUGGAACAUGAUAGGAGAUUAAGGUAUACUAAUGAAUUUUUAAAGCAUACGAUUUUAUAUCUUUGCAAUAUAAUUGAACUAGACAUUUGGUAAAGUUAGAACUUUUAGGUGAGCUAAAUUCAAUAAAGAUUUAUUGAUUAACAGAAGUUAUUCAGUGAAGUGGCCAAGGUUGAGCUUUUCUUGCUUUAUUAAAGCUUCAGAUUUUUUUAUGCAGUUGAUGUUCUUAUCCUGUAUGGGUCCAGCUCCAAAUGAGUUUAUUUAUUCUAAGAAUAAAUAUAUGUUAUGAGUUUUUUCUUAAGUUUGUUACUACAGUGUUAUAUGUUAAAUAAUUAAGUAGUAGAUUUUUCAUGUUAUAAAAUAGAUGGUUUAAAUCAAGUGAAAUUUGGUGCUUCAUUCUUUGAUAGAUAUAGUGGUAGAUAGAGCCUACGAAAUUUGAUAAGAUUAGUGAGAAUAUUUUAAGAGAACUUGAAAUAUUCCAAGUACUAUCCUAACCAAAACAGCAAUUUGGUUGAAACUGAAAAACGCACUUUCUAAAGCAGAAACCAGUAUCUUACUCAUAGGUACUCUGAGUAAAAUAUUUAAAUUGUUCAUAUCAAAAGUUGUAAACUCUUUAAAAAUAAACUGUAGAAUUCCAAAACUUCUAAUGAUUUGUCUUUACCUCCAGAAUACUUCAUCACAGAAUCACUUUUCCAGCAUAUUUACUUUAAAAUAAAGUUUAUUUUAUAAUUUUAGUUGAAAAUUUCAGAUACUUAGCUAAUAAAAAUUUCAGCUGCUUUCUAAAUUGUAAUCUGGUGUAAUGAAAACUCAUUUAACAGUAUUACUAAGUAUUACUUGAUUAAUUUUUGAAUAGUAAAGUAUUAAUUACAUGAUAAAGUAUUAACUAAAUGUGUUUUUUAAAACUAUUUGCUAAAUAAAGUGAAUUUGACUAAAAUAUACUAUAAUUUUUUCUUUACAUUUUUUUACUAGCAUUUAUUUUAUAUACUUAAGAUAUAGGAAAUCACAAAGGUUUGUUUUCAUAAGAAAAGUGUAAUUUAGUCUUAAGAGUCAAGUGUAUUUAUCACUUUGGUCAUAGAAUUGCUUUUAUCUUUAAAUAGUGUUAAAGGAUUUUUUUUCCAGCAAAUUCUUAGAUGUGUGUUUAAGAAUGUUUGAACAUUGAGAUAUAUAUCAAAAUACUUAAAAAUCAGAUAUUUCUGUUAUUAGCUAUUAGAUAAUCUAGGAAUGUAAAUCUGUUAACAGUUAAGUAAAAUGUUAAAAUUUAAUAGAAAUCAGUUUUAUAUAAGUGAAGUUCAGAUAUUAGUGUCAUGAUACUGUAAGGCAGUUGUUUGAUACAAGCUAUAAAAAGUUUUCAUAACUUUGAUUUAAGAAUGUUACAGAAAGCAGCUUAGUUUGAAUAGGAUGAGAACAGAUACAAUUUUUUCUCUGUAAGUGAUAUUUUUCAGGUUAAAGAACAUUAAGGUGAAAAGUAAAAAAUAUGGUUUCUCAGUAUCUGGAAAAAAAAAAUCUAGGUUCAUUUUGUCACUUUCAGUCCAGAUAUCUUUAGACACAGCCUUAAUGAGUCAAAGGAGGGAAGAGAUACAGCUUUUGAAUUUAUGUUAUAGAAAAAGACUUAAGUCCACAGAGUUGUUCCUCAUUAAGAGAGUUUAUGAUUUGUGAUCUCUGAAGUUGUCAAAAUGUUGUUUGGACACAAAUAUUUAGCAUCAUAAAAUUGUCCCUUAUAUAGCUUAUAAACUUCCAAAUUUUUAGUGAAUAAUUUAACACCUAAAAUAAUUGAUGCCGAUAUUAACAGUUUUCUUCUAUUGGUCAGCUCUUACAGAGUGAAAAACUUUAACCUAAUUAGUAGUGUAUGUUAUUUUAGAAGACAGGUUAAUAAGGGCUUUUACUGCUAUUAUGUGAUUGACUGUUCCUUAACUUACCCCAUAAAGGACAUUUUGUAAGGAUUUUGGCUGUUUUAAAUUUACAAACCUGUUUAUCUGUGUCUAACUAAGUUUUAAUAUGUAGUUCAUUAUGACAGGAUUUGGGGGAAAGCACUUACUGUGUUAUAUUUUUUUCAGUGCUAGAUUUUUAUCUUAUUUGUAUAAUAUUUAUAUUUUUGGUUAAAUGCAUUUUCAGGGUUAAAUAGCAUUCAUUUUCAGGAAAAUUCUCUGUUGUUUCCCAAAUACAGUUAUGCUGUCUGUGUUCUAGUUUUACUGAAAUAGUUAUCCUUAGGGGGAAAGAAUAUUUGGAUAAACUAGAAUAGAGGUAAUUUAACACAUCUACGUAUGAAGGGACUUGAAAUUAUUCAUUGUCACUGAUGAAUAAUGCUAGUUUAUAAAGACAACUUAUAUUUUAAACAGUUUAUCAGCUAUAAGAGUUUUCUUUAUUAGAGGUUUUAUAGUGUUGCUGAGGAUUCAUUGAAGAGUAGAUAGAUACAGUUUCUUAAUGAAGAAGCUUUAAAUGUUUGAAGCAGUUUUGUACAUGUACUUUAUGGGUUUUUUUGAUUAGUGAAUAGAUCAUUAAUCUUUUUCAGUUUCUUCAAAUAAGACCUAACACAUCAGACUUAAAUUUUCUGAUAAGGAUUUUCAAAGGGCAAUAUUUAAUUAAUGUGAAGAUUCAAUUUUUCAUUUAAUGUCAUUUUGAAGUAAAAUAUCAGUUCUCAGCACCACAAACCCCCACUUUUGUUAUUUCAUUAACAUAUAUGAUUUGGCUUAGUUUUACUUUCCUAUUUUCAUGGUUUGAGUCACUUGGAAGAGAAACAUGUAGCAUGUUUCAGAUGUAGUUGCUGAGGCUCAUCCUCUGGUUAAUAGUUUAUUUGUUACUGUUUCUAAGUUUCUUAAUUUUUUUUAAAUCCUUUUUUGAUUUUGCUCUUACUCUUUUAUUGUAUAACUUUCAUAGUAAACAAAUAUAUUUAGUAAUAUUGUUAUCCUGUGUUCUUCAGAAUUGUCUUUUUAAUUUUUAUUAUAACAUUGUUGGUUCAUUAUUGAGCUAUUGCUGAGUAGAAAACGGUUUUUCAAUUUUGAUAAAAAUUAAAGAUUGGGGGUUUUUAGCAAAAUAUCUGAAUUUUAUUUAUUUAAUAUUAUUGUAUUUUAUACUUUUAUUUAAUUUCAAACCUAACCUUCUUGACUAGCUGUUAUUUAAACUUAGCCACCAGUUCUAGCAUUUAAAAAAGUAAUUUACAGAUGUCCUAAUUUUUCUGACUUAUAAAUUAUUUUUCAGAAUCAAAAAUUGCUUAAGGUGUUUAAGAAUAUCUUUUAAAUUUAAAGUUAUAAGUCCAUAGAUGAAAUUACCUUUAAGUUUAAAGAUAAUUUGAUGAACAAAUACUUACAUUUCUGUUAGUGGUCAAUUGAUAUUAGGUACUUACUAAGUUUUUAGCUUUGUGUUACACAUUCAAAGUAGGUAAAUUACUUGUGGAAAUUUUUUUUAAUAAUUGAAAUUUUUGUAAAAGCUUUAUGGGCUAAAAUCGUAUUUAUUUGCUAAUAAUGUCUGAUGUCAAACUUGUGAUGUGAUUAGAUAUGUUGAAGCUGGGAGACUGGAGCUUUUUAUAAGCAUAAUAUAGUUUUGUUGCUUGAUUAAAGUUUAGAUACUUAGAUAUUUUCUAGUAUAGCUAGGGAACAUACUUUUUAUGAAUUCACCCUAAACCUGGUUAAAAUUCUUCUGAGAAUUUUGAUAAUUGAACAGUUAAAUCUAAACUAGGAGCUGAAGUGUGUCAUUACAUGUGUCAUUAAUUAUUUAACUUAGAUACAUUAUAGGUUCCCUUUCUAAUCAAAACACCAAUUUUGUCUUUUCUUCUCUCUCCACCUCACUUUUUAAAGAAAAAAAUCCUUAAAUAAUUUUAUCAUGUAGUGAUACAAGCAGAACUUCUGGGUAGGGAGGUUGAACUCAACCACUUUUUUCCUUUGUGUGUUAGUUGCAUGUGAUUUUCUCAGCUUGCUGCUUCAGUAGCAGCAACAGUGAAUAAACAAGUAUCAUCAGAGCCCUUGUUCUUGCUUCUUACUUUUGGGAACAGGGGUUGGGAGAUUGCUGCUGCUUGUCAGCUGUUGUUCAAAAUAGCAUCAAUAUGCUGUAGUGGUGGCCAAAGCAGCCUGCACCCACUAGCUUUUAUAGACCAGGUGGAAAUGGCCCAACUGUCAGUGUAAUACAUAUAUAGUAUAAUGAAUACGUUCUUUGACAAAAAGGUAUUUUCGUCCCAAAGCAGCUAAAAGAGAACAGUAGAUACUUUUAAUUCUUAGUUUCUUAUUAUUUUUUACUAUUUACUGUGUGGUUUUUAGUUCAUUUAAUUUUUAUAUAGUUAAUUCCAUGUUUGAAUGGAAAACUAUCUUGCUUCCAAAAGUAUAUAUAUGUUUCAUGCUUUUUACUUUUAAGCUGGUAGGCUGAAAUAAAUUAUUCAAUAAUUAGUGCUGAUAACACAAGUUAGAUAAUACAUUGGUAAUGGCAUUAGGGAAAGAAAAGCUGACUGUGGCCACAUAGGCGUGUUUCUUUCACUUUGGGAUCAUAUUCUAAAUUCGUGUUAUCUUUAUUUUAUAGCUCAGUUUAAAAGGCCAAAUUUUUAAUUGAUUUAACUGUAACUAAAAAGAACAAAAAUCUAUUACUACCUGAUGUUGUAUAUAAUUAAAGACAAAGCAGGCUGUAGAUGGAAAUUCAUAAAUCUUUUUCUCACUAUUAAAAUAAUGUCUUCUAUCUGAACUUUAUAUCUGGGAAGUUCAGGUUAUUCUAAAUCUUUUGAAAUAGGACUGUAAUUUACAAUAGCAUGGAGUGUUUUGAUUUUUAAGAAUUUGAAUCUGUAUAGAUUUACAUAACCUAAAUAUCUGUGUAUUUUUCUCCUCUUUUGUAUCUAAAUUCCAAUAGGUUGUAGUUAGGGGGAAGUGAAUAUUGGAUUUCUGUUAAAGUUGUGAUUUCAUUUUUAGAAUUUUUGGUGGAAAACCGCAAAUGACAUUUUUAGUGUGUAAUCCUAAUGCCCCAAUUUAGAGUUCAACAUUUGCAAUAGUAUUCUUUUAAACAGAGGUAACAAUGGGGUGUUUUUUGGUUUGUUUUGGGAUUUUUCCUAAUACUAGAGUAUUAACAUCUUUAAUAUGUUGAUAUAAUUUAACAGAUACCAUUAAUUACUGAUACCUACUCUUAAUCAAAACAGUGAGUUACAUAAUGCUUUAUAUUGAAAACACCUUAUUUUUACUACUAAUUACUGUGUAAAGCACCUGUGGAUCACCUGUACCAGAAUAACCUAGAAUAAAGCAUUUUUCCAGACCUGAUGAAUCAGAAUCUCUGGGGAUGGACUUAAGUAUUUAUGUUUAUAACAAGUGAGUUUUUCCUAGAAACCCCACAUGUGAGAACACUGCCCAAAAUGAAUUGGGAAAGGAUUCUUCACACCAAUAAACCAUCUACAUUUUCUGCCUUUUUUUCCCUCUUUGGUCAUCAUGGGUCUAAUCUCAGUAACUAAUUAUGAAUUUUAUCACUUCUAACAGUAAUUCUAGGAUAAGUCUUGGUAGUUCUUCAGUCAUAUAAGGAAAAUCUAUAUUAUGAGAGCUUUAUUUUAUGCAAAAGUGCCUUGGACCAAAUUUUAAGUCUAUUUGUUUAGAACAGUUAAUAUACUAUUAAACCUAUACUUGAAGCAAACAGAAGGAAUUGAUCACUUAAGAAUUUUUUAAAUUUUCGUUUAGAUGGUAGCUGUUUUUCUUAAGUAUACUUCCAAAUACAUAUUGGAGAAAAUACAGAAAGGAGAGUUUUUCAUAUGCUGCUUAUAGGAGCAUUUGGCAAUAUCCUAAAGUGGAAGAUAUACAUAGGCUCUAACCCAGCAAUCCUAUUCCUAGAUGUUCUAGAUAAACUCAGACAUUCGUGAAAAAGUCUUAUUUAUUUUUACUUCUAAUAGGAAAAAAUUAAAAGUAAUGUAAAUAUUAGGCAGUGAGAGAAUGUAAAAUUGUGACUUAAGUCAUGUGAUAAAAAAGUUAUACAGUUGUAAAGUGAGAU